This 497-nucleotide ribosomal RNA is filed under the name uncultured bacterium. RNAcentral's name for it is "partial 16S ribosomal RNA". It matches the Rfam family "Bacterial small subunit ribosomal RNA", at positions 28 to 507 of the family's 1533-position model. The record is from RNAcentral.
GAUGAACGCUGGCGGCGUGCCUAAUACAUGCAAGUCGAGCGAACGGACGAGAAGCUUGCUUCCCUGAUGUUAGCGGCGGACGGGUGAGUAACACGUGGAUAACCUACCUAUAAGACUGGGAUAACCUCGGGAAACCGGAGCUAACACCGGAUGAUAUUUUGAACCGCAUGGUUCAAAAGUGAAAGACGGUCUUGCUGUCACUUGUAGAUGGACCCGCGCUGCAUUAGCUAGUUGGUAAGGUAACGGCUUACCAAGGCAACGAUGCAUAGCCGACCUGAGAGGGUGAUCGGCCACACUGGAACUGAGACACGGUCCAGACUCCUACGGGAGGCAGCAGUAGGGAAUCUUCCGCAAUGGGCGAAAGCCUGACGGAGCAACGCCGCGUGAGUGAUGAAGGUCUUCGGAUCGUAAAACUCUGUUAUUAGGGAAGAACAUAUGUGUAAGUAACUGUGCACAUCUUGACGGUACCUAAUCAGAAAGCCACGGCUAACUACGUG